Molecule: small RNA, 600 nt
Filed under: human gut metagenome
Source: RNAcentral
ACUGAUUGAUGGCACAUUAUUCUAGUCAAUCGCUUUAUUAGGAAGACGGGAUUAAACAACCGUUAUAAGAGCAUAUCUGUGAAACCUCUGGUGUUUGCUUUAUACGCCCAGUUUAGGGUGAAUGCUGGAGAUGAAAAAUGUUGGGCGCUCGUAAUGGCAUACGACAAACGACCCAACAUUUGUGGAGACCUAUUAUUGUGGUGAGCCUAUACGUGUUAACUGAUGGACUCAUUACGAAAUGGGAUAAAACCUGUAUUGUGGCGAAAGUUAUGUACAGCGUAGCUUGUCUUGAGUGAUGGUCUUGGGAUUAAAGAACUUGCUUAUUAAUGUUUGGCCAAAUAUAAUAAGUAUUGCUUUAUGAAAUUGCUGUUGCAAAAGAGAAUUAAUAGUAAAGUGUUAUUGGUGGGGAAAUCUCCUAGAGUGCCGUUAGCAUAGGAUUGCAGUGGAUACUAAGUGGUAAUCAAGUCGUAUGAACGGUGACGUCAUACUCAUAUCUUUAAAGGGGAACCAUAAAUCUGGUAACGGAUUUAUAGACAUGAGGGAAAUCCUACUUGACCUAAGAUUCAAAGUUUACUAUGUUAAUAGCCAUUAGUUUUGUAA